GGGGGUACGUUGUCGGCAUUUUGGGCGUAAGGGCUCGCAGGCGGUUUCUUAAGUCUGAUGUGAAAGCCCCCGGCUCAACCGGGGAGGGUCAUUGGAAACUGGGGAACUUGAGUGCAGAAGAGGAGAAUGGAAUUCCACGUGUAGCGGUGAAAUGCGUAGAGAUGUGGAGGAACACCAGUGGCGAAGGCGACUCUCUGGUCUGUAACUGACGCUGAGGAGCGAAAGCGUGGGGAGCGAACAGGAUUAGAUACCCUGGUAGUCCACGCCGUAAACGAUGAGUGCUAAGUGUUAGGGGGUUUCCGCCCCUUAGUGCUGCAGCUAACGCAUUAAGCACUCCGCCUGGGGAGUACGGUCGCAAGACUGAAACUCAAAGGAAUUGACGGGGGCCCGCACAAGCGGUGGAGCAUGUGGUUUAAUUCGAAGCAACGCGAAGAACCUUACCAGGUCUUGACAUCCUCUGACAAUCCUAGAGAUAGGACGUCCCCUUCGGGGGCAGAGUGACAGGUGGUGCAUGGUUGUCGUCAGCUCGUGUCGUGAGAUGUUGGGUUAAGUCCCGCAACGAGCGCAACCCUUGAUCUUAGUUGCCAGCAUUCAGUUGGGCACUCUAAGGUGACUGCCGGUGACAAACCGGAGGAAGGUGGGGAUGACGUCAAAUCAUCAUGCCCCUUAUGACCUGGGCUACACACGUGCUACAAUGGACAGAACAAAGGGCAGCGAAACCGCGAGGUUAAGCCAAUCCCACAAAUCUGUUCUCAGUUCGGAUCGCAGUCUGCAACUCGACUGCGUGAAGCUGGAAUCGCUAGUAAUCGCGGAUCAGCAUGCCGCGGGUGAAUACGUUUCCCGGGCCUUGUACACACCGCCCGUCACACCACGAAAAGUUUGUAACACCCCGAAGUCGGUGAAGGUAACCUUUUUAGGAGCCAGCCGCCGAAAGGUGGGACAAAAUG
This 947-nucleotide ribosomal RNA is filed under the name Bacillus amyloliquefaciens. RNAcentral describes it as "bacterial SSU rRNA". It matches the Rfam family "Bacterial small subunit ribosomal RNA", at positions 532 to 1473 of the family's 1533-position model. Lineage: Bacteria; Bacillati; Bacillota; Bacilli; Caryophanales; Bacillaceae. The record is from RNAcentral.